CUCGUGUGUAGACUUUAUUUAUUAAUACAAUGAUAAGUAACAAUAUUAAACAAAAUAACUAAAAAAAUUGUCCUGUACAUAUCACAGACAAUAGAAAUAAAUGGACGGACAUAAGAUGUAAUAACAAAGGACACGAUGUGUCAAGAAAUGUCCCUUGAUACUCUUAAAUAUUAAAACUUUUUAGUUUUGAGAGAACAUGGUGCAUUAAAUAUUUAAUUAACUGUUACCCUCAAAAUUUUCCAAAAAUUCUUUUUUUUUUGUAUCAGGAAUUUCAAUUACUUUUCAAAACAAAGAGAUAAGUUAAUCUAAGAAAUAUAUAUAAAUUAGAGAGUGGUGUGUUUAAAAUAAAUCACUGGUUUUGUUUGUGGAAUGAUACAAAUAAUACAACAGUUAAAAGUUGAUAUCAAAAUCAUGUUUUUUGUGUGGUAUGAAAAAAAAACACAUUUUCAGCAUUUAACUAACAAAUGAAAAUACUCAGAGUCCUAAGAAAUAUUGCAUUUUGUCUAACGUUUACAAAGCAAACAUUUGUAAUUUAUUUAUAAAAGGGGUUAAAUUGCUCCUUAAAAUACCUUAUUCCUUCUUUGAAAUGAGAAUGAAGAAUUUCUGCAACACAGUUUUACACUUACUUUGUAGUAUAUGUAGACUAGUUUAAACUUUCAACAUAAACUUUCAAAGAAACAGAAAUACAAUUUGUCAUUUUUCUGUCAGUGCUAUAAAAAAUAUGUAUAAAUGUUUAUCCAUCCCAUGCAUGUCCUGUAUUUUGAUUAAUUUUGUCUGGCAAACUUUCUAUUUCUCUACUUUAUUGAAUCACUAGAGAAAACCGGGUUUAUUUAUACUUGUAUAAGAUUAAAAGGAUGCAAAAUAAAACAACAUUCCUGAGCAAUAAAAAUAUUUUUCUUAAAAAAAUAUUCUAGAAGUAUUGCAAUGGGUGCAAUAACCAGUAAAUCAAAUUA
RNAcentral lists this long non-coding RNA (953 nucleotides) under Mytilus galloprovincialis (Mediterranean mussel). Lineage: Eukaryota; Metazoa; Mollusca; Bivalvia; Mytilida; Mytilidae. The record is from RNAcentral.